Medicago truncatula (barrel medic) is the source of this 378-nucleotide long non-coding RNA. RefSeq lists it as uncharacterized. The transcript has 2 exons. Lineage: Eukaryota; Viridiplantae; Streptophyta; Magnoliopsida; Fabales; Fabaceae. The record is from RefSeq and is a predicted model, not a curated record.
UCAUGGGUUUUAUAAAAAUUUUAGUCAUAAAACUAUUUCUUAUAUGAAAAGGGAAUGAAUAUGGCUGAAAUUGUCAAGUAUAUUUAUGUUAUCAUUAUCUUUCUUUCUCUAUUUCUUGUUGCAACUAAUAUUGAAGCGUUUUUUAGAUGCAAGAACGAUUUUGAUUGUGUACACAAAAGGUGUCGAGGUCCUAUGAGAGCAAAGUGUAUUUCCAAAGCCAUAUGUAAAUGCAGACUAGCGUUCACCCUAAAAUAGUUUAAAUUUUCAGUUUUUUUUUUUUCCUUCUAAUUUGAAGAAUUUGUAGUUAUUACUUUGUACUCUAAGAUGAUGGUAAAAAAAUAAAAUAAGUCAGAAAAAUAAUAAUAUUUGAUUGUCUUA